This 505-nucleotide ribosomal RNA is filed under the name Fusarium solani. RNAcentral describes it as "eukaryotic LSU rRNA". The stretch from base 133 to 286 matches the Rfam family "5.8S ribosomal RNA". Lineage: Eukaryota; Fungi; Ascomycota; Sordariomycetes; Hypocreales; Nectriaceae. The record is from RNAcentral.
UCACCCUGUGAACAUACCUAAAACGUUGCUUCGGCGGGAACAGACGGCCCUGUACCCAUUGGCCGCCCCCGCCAGAGGACCCCUAACUCUGUUUUUAUAAUGUUUUUCUGAGUAAACAAGCAAAUAAAUUAAAACUUUCAACAACGGAUCUCUUGGCUCUGGCAUCGAUGAAGAACGCAGCGAAAUGCGAUAAGUAAUGUGAAUUGCAGAAUUCAGUGAAUCAUCGAAUCUUUGAACGCACAUUGCGCCCGCCAGUAUUCUGGCGGGCAUGCCUGUUCGAGCGUCAUUACAACCCUCAGGCCCCCGGGCCUGGCGUUGGGGAUCGGCAGAAGCCCCCUGUGGGCACACGCCGUCCCUCAAAUACAGUGGCGGUCCCGCCGCAGCUUCCAUUGCGUAGUAGCUAACACCUCGCAACUGGAGAGCGGCGCGGCCAUGCCGUAAAACACCCAACUUCUGAAUGUUGACCUCGAAUCAGGUAGGAAUACCCGCUGAACUUAAAUACCCG